GCGCAGCAGGCGAGAAACUUUACAAUGCGGGAAACCGUGAUAAGGGAACCUCGAGUGCUGAUGCCCAGCAUUGGCUGUCCACAUGCCUAAAAGCAUGUGUUAGCAAGGGCCAGGCAAGACCGGUGCCAGCCGCCGCGGUAACACCGGCGGCUCGAGUGGUAGCCACUUUUAUUGGGGUCUAAAGCGUCCGUAGCCGGCUUGGUAAGUCUUCUGGGAAAUCUGGCGGCUCAACCGUCAGGCGUCCAGGAGAUGCUGUCAGGCUUGGGACCGGGAGAGGUGAGAGGUACCUCAGGGGUAGGGUGAAAUCUUGUGA
Molecule: ribosomal RNA, 313 nt
Filed under: uncultured microorganism
Description: bacterial SSU rRNA
Rfam family: Archaeal small subunit ribosomal RNA
Source: RNAcentral